Molecule: long non-coding RNA, 1613 nt
Organism: Sinocyclocheilus grahami
Lineage: Eukaryota; Metazoa; Chordata; Actinopteri; Cypriniformes; Cyprinidae
Exons: 3
Source: RefSeq, a predicted model, not a curated record
CUCCGCCGGCUGCAGCUUUGGCCAUCACCAUGCAUACAUUUAAAAGCAUCUUUUCAGUCCCUGCAUCUGAAUGCAGAUAUCUCGAUUUGAUACUCUUUUAUUCGACGCUCAGGUUUUAUCGGCUACAUUUAUAUGCGGAUGUAACGGCAUGUCAAAGCAACAUUUGUCGUCCGUUUUUUCCAUUUCAUCUUUACAUCUACGACAAAAGACGAACUGAUGUCAUGUUGUAGCCUCUUCGUUUUAUCCAAAUGAUGUUUGCGUCUUGCAGUAAGUACGAGGAUCUGUACAGCUCAGCGCGCGCACGGACAGAAGAAUUUUUCCAUGGACCCCCUGGUUUGUGAGACGUCCGCAGUUUGAAAAACUCUGGUGUAAAGAUGGCAUGGAUUGGAGAGGCCCGCUGUGCUGCUGCGGCUGCCCACACACCAUUUGCAAUGUUUGGCCGCCAGAGGGCAGCGCGGGACCGGAACCCAGUGGCACCGGAGGGAGGAAGAGAGGAAAGGCGGUCGAGAGAUCGCUGGCCGUGCAACACGGACUACAGUUCAUCUCACGGGUCGGCGCAUAUUUUAAACAGCCUUUAUUACCCUAACCCAGACCCCUGUUUUUUCCCCCUCCCCUUUCUAAAUCCGUUUACUGAGGGUCUUUUAUAAGCGGAAAUGUGAAAAGUGCUGACUGCUAUUCCCAUUUUGAGGAUAUCUGACUUCAGCAAAUUACAGUUGGGUUUUUGAAUAUUUCAUAUUUGAUCAAAAGCCUGCACACAAGCUGCACACACACACGGGUCCACAUGGGGCAUGAUACAUUUUUAAAACACCAAUCAUUAUGCACACAUUGGCCCACGAUGUCCACUUUAAUUUGGGUAUUUAUUAAGAAACCUUUGCACCUUUUUCACUUGUAUUAUUUCAAAGGUGCCUUUAAUGAAAGCCUAGGCAUAUAGUGUGUAGCAUUAGCCUUUUGUGCUAUAAGUUUGGUGCUUGCACGUGAAUCGAUUCAUGCACUCUUGUUGCUAUCGAACUGCACAACACUGCCGUUCCCCUUUUAACCCCCCCAUCUAAAACACUUUAAAAUGGCCAACCUAGGACGGAGGCCAAUAUUGGCCUUGGCUGUACCUUGAAUAAUGAAUAAUUCAUCUGUUUGACCUUUAGCUGAAGUUUAUUGGAGGGUGAAGGCAUCCUGCUGGCCUGCCUGCUGCCUGGCCCAGCUUGAGCUCUGUUUCCCCUCUCAGUCAUGUCCCCUUCGAUAUCCUCUCCUUCUCUCGCUGUCACCAAGUGAGGUGUGAGGACACGAAAUGUCUUGACCAUCAAAGUUCCUCGCCGUGUCUUGGUCUUAUGUUUUGACUUGUUUUGAAGGUCAGGUUUGUUACGUCCACCUAUAUUAAACAUAACCUCUGACCCAGCGUGAGCUGCUCAGAAUCGUGGGAUCGUCCUCCUGUAUGUCUACCCUGUGAAACAUAUUGUAUGUAAACGUAAAUCCGGUGUGCAGAAUGACAGUGAGUGAUUGCUCUGAAUUGGUUGCACGUUUGUAGAACUAUGUUCGUUUUCAAUUAAUCUUAGAUUCCAGCGUCCCAACGGUCCCAUGAGCACUUUCGCAAAGAAAUGGCUGACUGGGCUGUUUUACCU